CAAACAUAUGUUAUUUUCCAAAUCAUGUCAAAAUGUAUUUGAUGAUUUAUGCAGACAUACUUUGGAUGAUGCCCUCAUUGAUCGUGUCGCCACUUACUAAUAUCUGGGCAUCUGGAUUGACGAAAAGAUAUCUUUCAAAAAGCAUGUUGAUGCGUUAGUUUCUUCUAUAGGAAAAAGUCCUGUCUUUCAUUAAAUAGCAAAAAACAAAUCAAUAGAAAGUAGGCUAAGUCCCUUUGAAGUCUUGUAGAUCGAUGCAUUGCACUCUUUUUGUCUAUAAAGCCCUCUUGCAUAAUCUUCCGCCAUACCUUACCUCACUGUCAACCUUCAGAUGUAUAAGUUACCAGACUCAGGAAUGGCUAACCCUGGAGAUCCCUUCAAUCUCCACUGAAUUAGGUAAAUCUGCUUUUAGUUAUCUUUGCGCUUCUCAUGCGGAAUGGUCUCCAAAGGUCCUUAAAGUUUGAGUUGUUGCCUCUAGGGCAAUGUUCGUGGAUGUUCGAGGGCCUUUUUACUGAAGAAUAUGUUUGUUUCACAUAUUUCAUUGUGUUUUGCUUUACAUGUUUUGUGUUUAAUUUUCAUGUAUUGUGUAAUUGAUGUGUAUAUAGGUAAUUGUUGUUUACUGAUGUGUUCAUACAGGGCUCAUCUACAAAAGAGACCGUGGUCUCAGCAUGACUCCCUGCUUAAAUCAAGAAAUGAUUUCUUAUGGGUACUUAAGAAGAAGAUAUUUUAUUCAUAGUUUUUAGAUGUAUAUGAAAAUGUGUUUUUUUG
Molecule: long non-coding RNA, 765 nt
Filed under: Salmo salar (Atlantic salmon)
Lineage: Eukaryota; Metazoa; Chordata; Actinopteri; Salmoniformes; Salmonidae
Description: lncRNA (ENSSSAG00000104280.1)
Source: RNAcentral